AGACUCUUCUCUUCAUUUGGAACCCACCCACGAACGAGAAAAAACUCUCUGCUUUGUGCAAAAUUAAAACAUCCUCUGUCUUUCUUUGUGAAUCUAUCUUUGUGACUAAUUAUAACCUUCAAAUUGGAGAUACAUUUGUGAUGGAGAUCAAAUUUCUGAGCCUAAUUUAGAAGGGGAAAAUCGUUAUUUAAUUUUUCAGUUUUUGGUUCUUGAUUUUAAUCCUUUGCAAAUCCUAAACUAAUUAAUUGGUUUGUUUGAAUUGUAGGUGGGUUUGCUCAACACAUCACGUUGGGGUUUAAUCUUGAACUUGUAUUUAAUACUUCAAAGUGAAUAUUAUAACUACACAUGACACAUGAGUGUCUUUCGUUCUUUAUUUUAUCCAAAACAAUAUAUAUCUUGCAUAUAAAAUUUUGCUAAAAAUGGGGUUGCAUUUCAUGACAGAUCAUUUGAAGUGGGGGGACUUGGAAUCAGCCUUGCCCAGUUAAGAGUUCUAAUAAUGUCAUUUCACUUGUAUGUACAUAUUAAAAAUUUCACUUUUUUAUCAUCUCCUUCUAAUCCUUUAUUUUGUUAUCGAAAUUUUGUAGGAGUUGGAG
This 593-nucleotide long non-coding RNA is filed under the name Olea europaea subsp. europaea. Lineage: Eukaryota; Viridiplantae; Streptophyta; Magnoliopsida; Lamiales; Oleaceae. The record is from RNAcentral.